GUACUUUUAGUGGUGCUAGUUAUUUUUCACUUGUCUCAGAAGUUUGUCUCUAAUUCUUGCAGACCAGUGUGAAAUAACUGUAUGAGCUGACGCUGUACAGCUGAUGUAACAAUCAGAAUGACCAUUUCAGUCUGAGUUUAAGGGAAGACGACUGUGAAGAACACUUUGGAAAAUGCCCAUAUGAAGAUACUACUAAAGUACAUGCCCAUGUACACCUACAGAAUAUAUCCUUUCCACUAUAUGCCUAACAUACAUGGAAUAUUACCUGUGAUUGUACCCUGGAAAACAAGUGAGAAGCUUUGUAUUCAUUCUGAGGUGAUUUCUAUGUACCGAGAAAGCUUACAGAGAGGAAAAGCUACAGAAAAGCUUCUUGGUUUGAUGGAUGGCCAGCACAUAAAAAAAAGGAGAUAGCACCUGAAUAAAGAACCAGGCACCAGGACUACUCUCAAGGGAAAAGCUUUUUACCAAGCCCAGGCACAGCAUUUCCAAGUAUCAAGAGUUAACAUGCAAACUGAGUAACACUAAAGACACCAAGCUCCUGCUUUUCCUCAAGAACCUUGGCUCAGCAUGUGCCUACAACAGAAGACUCCCACACACUACACAGUUAAUCACCAGUCCAGUUCAUUAUGUCCACAUCCAAACCCAACUGCGACACUGUGAUAGAGAGGCUAACAGAUACGUGGUCUGAUUGUUAGACUGCAAUUGACAAAUCUGAUAAAGCACCGAACCUGACCUUACGCUUCUUUGUUUGCUUUUUAAUAACCUCCAUCUACCAGCAGAGACUCUAAUGCUCUGUGUAGUCAAUUGUUCCUUGCAAUUAACUGUGCUUUGUAAUAUCAAAAGAAAAUAAACCCACCUUUGGAGAGGGAG
RNAcentral lists this long non-coding RNA (870 nucleotides) under Gallus gallus (chicken). RNAcentral's name for it is "lncRNA (ENSGALG00010015526.1)". The record is from RNAcentral. Lineage: Eukaryota; Metazoa; Chordata; Aves; Galliformes; Phasianidae.